GUAAUACGUUAUAACGUCAUACCAUAAAACGUAAUACGUUAUAAAGUUAUAUCAUGUAAAGUAAUACGUUAUAACGUUAUACCAUAUAUCGUUACAUACAUCGACACUCUGUGUUACCACAGAUUUUAUACGAAAUAGUGAAAUUGGAAAUUGAAUACUGUAUUCAGAGUUAAAAUAUAAUGCUAUAUGGAAAUGAAAUAGCACUUCAAAGACUUGAUAGAUUUCGUUAAUAAAAUAAAGCAAAAUAAAUCUUUAAUUCACUCACUACGAAUUUAUGGUAUUGAUUAAAAUCAAUGAAUGUAGAGUUACUUCCGAUUAAGGGUACAACUGUUAUAAAUUAAGAGCAUAAUUACAUUGAAUUAAUGGGAAAAUGUUGUUAUAAAUUAUUGUAAACUUGGAAUUAUAAUUGUAAUUGACAACGAUAACGAUUAAGAGCGUGGUUACACUUAAUCGUGUGCAUGAUAUUAUCAGAAAUUGUGAUUGUAAUUAACAAUAAUUCAAACAAAAUUCAAAGAAUU
Long non-coding RNA from Bombus huntii, 518 nucleotides. RefSeq lists it as uncharacterized. The record is from RefSeq and is a predicted model, not a curated record. The transcript has 2 exons. NCBI's taxonomy places the organism in Eukaryota, Metazoa, Arthropoda, Insecta, Hymenoptera, Apidae.